AUGAUUUUGGAUCCGACUGAGUGGCGAACUGGUGAGUAACACGUGGGUAACCUGCCCAGAAGAAGGGGAUAACACCUGGAAACAGAUGCUAAUACCGUAUAACAACAAGAACCACAUGGUUCUUGUUUGAAAGCUGGCCUUUGUGCUAGUGCUUCUGGAUGGACCCGCGGCGUAUUAGCUAGUUGGUGAGAUAAUAGCUCACCAAGGCAAUGAUACGUAGCAGACCUGAGAGGGUAAUCUGCCACAAUGGGACUGAGACACGGCCCAUACUCCUACGGGAGGCAGCAGUAGGGAAUCUUCCACAAUGGACGAAAGUCUGAUGGAGCAACGCCGCGUGAGUGAAGAAGGGUUUCGGCUCGUAAAACUCUGUUGUUAGAGAAGAACAGCCGUGAGAGCAACUGCUCACGGUAUGACGGUAUCUAACCAGAAAGUCACGGCUAACUACGUGCCAGCAGCCGCGGUAAUACGUAGGUGGCAAACGUUGUCCGGAUUUAUUGGGCGUAAAGGGAGCGCAGGCGGUUUAUUAAGUCUGAUGUGAAAGCCUUCGGCUUAACCGGAGAAGUGCAUCGGAAACUGAUAAACUUGAGUGCAGAAAAGGAUAGUGGAACUUCAUGUGUAGCGGUGAAAUGCGUAGAUAUAUGAAGGAACACCAGUGGCGAAGGCGGCUAUCUGGUCUGUAACUGACGCUGAGGCUCGAAAGCAUGGGUAGCAAACAGGAUUAGAUACCCUGGUAGUCCAUGCCGUAAACGAUGAAUGCUAGGUGUUGGAAGGUUUCCGCCUUUCAGUGCCGCAGCUAACGCAUUAAGCAUUCCGCCUGGGGAGUACGACCGCAAGGUUGAAACUCAAGGGAAUUGACGGGGACCCGCACAAGCGGUGGAGCAUGUGGUUUAAUUCGAUGCUACGCGAAGAACUUACCAGGACUGACAUCUUCU
This 932-nucleotide ribosomal RNA is filed under the name Fructilactobacillus sanfranciscensis. RNAcentral describes it as "bacterial SSU rRNA". It matches the Rfam family "Bacterial small subunit ribosomal RNA", at positions 75 to 992 of the family's 1533-position model. The record is from RNAcentral. Lineage: Bacteria; Bacillati; Bacillota; Bacilli; Lactobacillales; Lactobacillaceae.